Molecule: non-coding RNA, 70 nt
Organism: Phrynosoma platyrhinos (Desert horned lizard)
Lineage: Eukaryota; Metazoa; Chordata; Lepidosauria; Squamata; Phrynosomatidae
Source: the annotation of a GenBank genome assembly
GUUGGUACCUUUGUGGUUUGAGCGUCGGACUAAAACUCUGGGGACCAGGGUUCGAAUCCCUAUGGAAACC